ACAGUCGUCAGCCAGCCGGUUUGAAUGAAGUGCGAAUAUAUUCCCUUUGUACUAACUCGGUACCGUCGCAGUCUCAGCUGAGCAGCGUUCUAGAGUAGCUCGUAGCUCCCGCGGGAUCGCGAUUAGACCCGGGCUCAAGCCGUGCGUGUGCUUUAUUUAUUGUGUAAUUGGUUCGAAAGUCAGAUAUUUUGAAGUGACCCAAACGCGAUCGUGUCGGUUAAGGUUAUUUUUGAAACACCCAAGAAGUGGACAAAGUUAGAUUGUUGGAAGUGUGAUUGGGUGAAACGAGUGCGAUCAUGCUGCUGAAAAAGCUACCGUUAUCAGCACCUUCUUCGGCUGCCACCAUCAGAAGAUGUCUGUCUGCGCAGGCCAGCACCAGUCUGAACGAAAGUCCCGAACAGUCGAAAUCCACCAAGGAGUCCUUAGCCUACAAAAAGCACAGCUAUGACAAAAUUACCUCCAUGCGCAAGCAACACCUAACCCCAAAUGUGACGUCCUACUACAAAAAGCCCUUGCUCAUUCACAAGGGAAGCAUGCAGUGGCUGUUCGAUCACGAGGGACGCCGCUAUCUGGAUAUGUUCGGUGGAAUCGUCACCGUAUCCGUUGGACACUGCCACCCGAAAGUCAAUGCCGCUUUGGAAGAGCAGAUGAAUACCCUGUGGCACACUACCAACAUCUACAUGCACCCCAAAAUUCACGAAUACGCUGAAAAACUGCUGUCCAAACUCCCGGCCGAUUUGAACAAUGUGUACUUUGUCAACUCCGGAUCGGAAGCGAACGAUCUGGCAAUGAUGAUGGCACGGCUGUAUACCGGAAACAGCGAAAUCAUCAGUUUCCGUAACGCCUACCACGGAGCAUCGCCAUACACGAUGGGUCUGACGGCACAUUCAACGUGGCGAUAUCCCUUGGCCGGUGUUAGCAACGGCAUAAUCCACGCCAUGAAUCCCGAUCCGUACAGUGGUAUCUGGGGUGGAAAGAACUGCCGAGAUUCCCCGGUCCAAACCACGCGCCAUUGCGAUUGCCCUGCCGAUCAAUGUCUGGCUAGUGGUCGAUAUUACGAACAGUUGGAGCAGAUCUUCAAGUAUUCGUUACCACGCGGCAAGGUGGCAGCUAUGUUUGCAGAAUCGAUUCAAGGAGUCGGAGGAUCCGUUCAAUAUCCCAAAGGGUACAUCAAGAAGGCGGCGGAGCUGGUCCGCGCCAACGGAGGCUUGUUUGUGGCGGAUGAAGUUCAGACGGGUUUCGCCAGGACCGGCGAGCACUAUUGGGGCUUCGUGGGUCACGACAUUGUGCCGGACAUUGUUACGAUGGCCAAGGGUAUCGGCAAUGGAUUCCCGAUUGGAGCGGUGGUAACGUCGCGGAAGGUGGCGGAAACACUGUCACAAGCGUUACAUUUCAAUACCUAUGGGGGAAAUCCGCUGGCCAGUGCUGUUGGAAUUGCCGUAUUGGAUGUUAUUGAAGAAGAAGGUAUGCAACGCAAUGCACGUGAUGUUGGUACAUAUUUGCUCAAAGGAUUGGAUAAACUACGGGAUAAAUAUGAUGUCAUCGGAGAUGUACGAGGAAAGGGUCUGAUGAUCGGGGUUGAGCUGGUGGCCGACAAGGAGACACGUCAGCACCUCAGUGCGCCACACUUUGUGGAAAUUUGGGAGAUGUGCAAGGACAUGGGCGUCCUAUUCGGACGAGGCGGUUUGAAUGCUAACGUACUUAGAAUUAAACCACCGAUGUGUUUAACAAAAGAAGACGUUGACUUUGCCUUGCAAGCGCUAGACGUUGCACUCGAGCGUCACUCCGAGAGUGCUCAAAAACUAAUUUGAAACUGACCAAAACCUGUUAUUUGGAAGCAAAAACUUUCCACUAACACAGCACACCAUUUCAGAGCACCAAAGCUUAAUUGUUAGGAAUUUGAACCUCAUAAAAUGUGAAAAUUGGCACAAAUAUAUAACACAGAAAAAAAAAACAACAACAAAAUCAUUGCUUUGGUUAUCCUGAAACAUCCUCAACCGUAGACAAACUCCCAAGGUCCCAAACAACUUCCACCCUGCGUCAGAGUAGUGUAGCUGCUAACCAGUCCUGAAAACAAAAACAAAAUGGCGGUUAUACGGUUUAAACCACCCAUGUGCGUCAAUAUGUCCGACGCGGAGUAUGCCCUAACCGUGUUUGACUAUGCUUGCCAAGCCUACCAAAACAAGCGGAAACGGGGCUGCA
Molecule: RNA transcript, 2202 nt
Organism: Aedes albopictus (Asian tiger mosquito)
Lineage: Eukaryota; Metazoa; Arthropoda; Insecta; Diptera; Culicidae
Gene name: alanine--glyoxylate aminotransferase 2, mitochondrial
Exons: 7
Source: RefSeq, a predicted model, not a curated record